Gossypium arboreum is the source of this 491-nucleotide long non-coding RNA. RefSeq lists it as uncharacterized. The transcript is spliced from 2 exons. NCBI's taxonomy places the organism in Eukaryota, Viridiplantae, Streptophyta, Magnoliopsida, Malvales, Malvaceae. The record is from RefSeq and is a predicted model, not a curated record.
UCUUUGUUUUUUCUCUCUGGGCAUAGCCUAGAAUCAGGCCAUAGGGUCUGGCGAGCCUCCGCCGUGGCCGAAAAAAAAACUUUCUCAGUCCCUUUUUUUUAGGUUUAAAACCCUAAAAACCAAAUCUUUUUUAAAUCAAAAGAAGAAAAAGAAAACAAAAAGAGUAACUUUCGGCCUUGCCGUUUUUAGCGAAUCCUCGCAGAACCCUAAUAGGUUUUGAGGUGUUCAGAUUGCCGGAGAUAGCCCUCGACGACGACAGGUCCCGCGCUACGUCAACAGAGGGGAGAAGGGCUUUUUUGGUGAAAAGGCGACAGACCUCGGGAAGAGGAGCCUCGAGACGGGGCGCGCUGAUGUGGCAUGGAGGCAGCAACGCAUUAGGGUUUCUACUUCUGCUAAAGUUGUUUAGGCUAUGGCCUAUUGGGCUUAGGGUUUUUGUUUGUUUUGGACCUAUAAACUUCGGCCUUAUAUAUCUUUAACUGGGCUGUUUAAAA